Small nuclear RNA from Schistocerca cancellata (South American locust), 108 nucleotides. Lineage: Eukaryota; Metazoa; Arthropoda; Insecta; Orthoptera; Acrididae. The record is from RefSeq and is a predicted model, not a curated record.
GUACUCGCUUCGGCGCUACAUAUACUAAAAUUGGAACGAUACAGAGAAGAUUAGCACGGCCCCUGCGCAAGGAUGACACGCAAAAAAAAAGAUGGUAGAGCACUUGCC